AUGGAGCUCAUAGCAGCCCUCACGACCCUCCAAAAUGCAAGAGCCCUUGUGAGGCUUUCUCUGCUCAGCUAUGUGAUGUGAAAGCUGCACGGGGAAGCUAAGACUGGCUGUCUGGCUGCAGGCACUCCUGCAACACAUUAUCACCUGGUAGAGAGGGCAGCAGCAGCAAUCAGAGCAUGAGAGACUCACGUGGGUGAAUAAUACUGCUGAUGACAUCAGUGUCUUCAGCAUCACCCUAAGCCAUCUCUCCAAGACACUUGACCAAAUAUUGCAGUGCCCUACCUGGUAACAGGAACUCUGAAGAGUCACCCAGAGGGCAAAACCUGCCAGGCCUGGGCACAUCACCAGUUAAUUGCAACUCCUGCCUUGCUUUCCAGGGAGCAGCAGCUCUCUGCGCUGGUGCAGCACAUCCAACUCACACCAACAGCAAACGCAGUGCACCCAGCUCCAUCCCCCUCCUCCCAGCAGUGGGAGCACAUCCAGCUUCCUACCUCUCGGGCUUCCCAUUGGGGUCAUAUGGAGCCUGAGCAUCCUCCUCAUCGAUCUCUGAGUAUUCACUCUUGGGCCUGGAAUGAGAGCAGGGAAGGUCAGCACUGGAUCAAAUCAUGGAAAAAAAGUUCACAUUAAUGUAGCCCUUUCUAUUUCCUCCACCUUGAGCAGCCUGAGAAGCCAGCAUAGAAAACUCCAUGCCCACCACAGUCUCCUGCCAGCCUCCCUCAGACCCAAUGAGACCAAGAUCAUCGUGUCCUGUCACCAGUGGUCCUCAAUAAAACUGCAUUUUCCAACAAAACCUUCCACCUGCAACAAAUAUAUAGCAUUCAUGAGCCUUCAUGUUACUUGCCACGCUGUCCAUUACUGAAAACAGGGCAGAGACUGAACCUUGUUUCACCAUGACGUCUGCUUUGAGAGUCCAGCUGCAUUCCAGCACUCUGCCAGCAGCCUCAAAACUAAAACCAAAACAAUAACUAUCCUUGGAUAGCAGAGACAUCUGUCUCUGUAUUGUCUUCACUAGAAGCAAGAUGAACUUGGAAAGAAACCCAUUAUCAUCAGGGAACACACAGCUCCAACAGCAAUCACCACUUCUUUAGGUCCUUCUAACUCUGACACUGAUUUUGUCAAGAAUCUCUCCAGGGCUGUUUCCAGGUACUGCACACAACAGCAGGCUCAUGAGGAUGCAGCCCAGUCUGCCACCAAAGGAAUCUGCAUCAGCGCUGCCUUGGGCCACCCAGACAUGUAAAGCCUCACCACAGAGGGACGCAGGUUCAGCCUGUCACUUCUUAACAUCCAGCAUUACAGAAAUUAAACCAGAGAGUUUUUGUGGCACCACAACGAAGCCUAAAAUUAUUUCAAAUCCUGAUUUGAAAUUCCACAUCACAGAGACGUUCCUGCUUCGCAACCACCCAGCCAACAGCCCAGACCAUCAACCCAAUUUCGGUGCAAUUUACCUGCCAUGAUCCGUUUGGCAACUACAAAACUCUCCAGUUCUGCCCCCAAAGUGAUGGUGACAGAGGCCAGUCCCGCACACCAACACUUCUGAUGUGCUCAUGAUAGAGAUAAUGCAGAGCUGCAACCUGCUGGCCCACCCCCACCCAGACUGACUGAACUGAACCAUGGAGGUGUCCUACAGAGCCCAUCAAAGCCAAGCUUUGGGGUUUGCUCCUUCCAUCAGUGAAAACAGCCUGGGAUUGCUGUGGGCAGAUCUCAGAAUCUGGGCAGAGUCCCUGUGACAGAAAACGCCUGGCAGACAGCUGGAGGUGGAGAAUACAGGCUAAAUGCUGCUCUCAGCAGCCCCUUUACUGAGAGCUGCCUUAGCAAGGGGCAACGUAAUCAAAGCAAUGGUGUGUAGGCUCAGAGCAGACAGUGAGGAAGAAUGACAGGUAUUUUUGGAGUCAAGCCUGGCAAUGCGGGGCCUGGGCAGGAGGAAAGCCUGCUGAGCCCCUUCUGCUGCACAGCCUCUUGUCCAGCUGCAGCUCUGCUCAGGCUUCCGUUCCCCCCAGCUUCUGCAGUCCCUGCACCAAAUUCUGCUCCUGCAUCGAGGUCUUCCUGACCUUGUGCAGCUCUACCUGCUGCCCUGCAACCACAGCAGCUCAUCUGCUGUCCCUCCUAGCUCCUGCUUGCCGCUGCCUUGGCUGAAGCACCCAGUGCCUCUCUGCUGCUGGCUCCAGCAUGCUCAAUGGCAGCAUGUCUGCUGGAUGGUCACUGCGACUUGAGUAUGUACAAGAAAAAGCAAUGCUUAGAGAUCCAAACUAUGCCCUGGGCUGAAAUGACGUAACCAAACAAUGGCUUGGCUUCAAAGGAACCCUUUAAGACCACCUAGUCCCAUCCCUUUGCCUCAGAGCUGUACUGUUUUCUGCUUGGACACUGUGUUGACUGUAACUCUUUGAAUAUGGCUAUGCAGCCAAGUCCCUGUUUUCCUCAGCUUUCCCAGCUGUAUGGUAACUGUUGAGUCAUGGCCUGAAACACUGAUUGAUCACCUGGGAAAAGGACCAGCUCAGCCCUGGGAGCACAGGUGAAGGCAUUUCAGCUGCAUGACAGGAAGGGGUGGAGCCUGGCUGCAUCUCUCUUAGACCCCAUUUAAGGGCUGACUGCCACUGGGGAAGGAUCUCUGGUUGGAGAUCCUUCUUUUGUGGAGUUUCUACUCUGAGCCUGGACCUUCAGAGACAGUUCUUACUCCCUGCUGAAUGCCACUUACCAUCCUGCUCCACGUAGUCAUUGGGGUCGUUGUCUCUGCUCCGAGAUGUUACCUGCAGGACGACAAAAGGAAACCGAUGAGAAUGCCAGCCUCACAGAUUGCAUUAACUACUAAAAUAAGACUGUGGAGCGCCGUUGCAGAAUGACUUACAGCAACAAAUGCAGUUCACCCUAUUUAAUGGAAAUUGGGACUAUUUAGACAACUGCAACUCAGUUUGUGAUGUCCUGCUCCACCAGUCUGCUCUCUCCCACAGGAUAGAGAGAGUCACAGCCUGUGCCCACUGCUGCUGUUUGGUUCUGCAGCAGUUCAGAUUUGCCUGUGAUACUGCUAGAAGAGGAUGCAUAGCACUCACACAACCAAAGCUGAAGCAAGAGACAUCAACCUCUGUCUAUUGCUUUAAUUAGGCACUCUGGAACAAACUUCACCACCAGAAGCAGCUCCCGGGCUGUGGUGACCCCUGGAUGUGGACUCGGAGCAAGGCCCCUCCAGCUGACAGCUUUUUCAAACAUUCUCCACAAAGUCCCUUUGCAUCUGCUCUGCUCUGGCUCUGCCAACCCUCCCCAAGGUGACUGGGCAAGAGCCAUUUGGCAGCAUUGCCCUGGCUCAGGCUCCUCACACCUUGCCAUUCUGAGAGCCAAGAAUCAGCAAGCUGGGGGCCUCUGGGCUCCUGCCAAGCUUUGUGAAGGGGCUGACCUUGCCAAAGCCCUGGCAGCAAGCGGGCA
Molecule: non-coding RNA, 3414 nt
Organism: Coturnix japonica (Japanese quail)
Lineage: Eukaryota; Metazoa; Chordata; Aves; Galliformes; Phasianidae
Source: RefSeq, a predicted model, not a curated record